Molecule: ribosomal RNA, 274 nt
Filed under: uncultured bacterium
Lineage: Bacteria
Description: partial 16S ribosomal RNA
Rfam family: Bacterial small subunit ribosomal RNA
Source: RNAcentral
CUACGGAGGGUGCAAGCGUUAUCCGGAAUCAUUGGGUUUAAAGGGUCCGUCGGCGGGCUAAUAAGUCAGGGGUGAAAUCCCACAGCUUAACUGUGGAACUGCCCUUGAUACUGUUGGUCUUGAGUUACAGUGAAGUGGUUAGAAUGUGUAGUGUAGCGGUGAAAUGCAUAGAGAUUACACAGAAUACCGAUUGCGAAGGCAGAUCACUAACUGUAUACUGACGCUAAUGGACGAAAGCGUGGGGAGCGAACAGGAUUAGAAACCCUAGUAGUCC